CAGAUAUCAGUUCAUCACUGUCUGUCCACUAGUGACUACAGAUUAUAUCUGUGUCUCAUUCUCAAUAGCAAUUAGCAAUUAAAUUUAAGAGAUAGGAUCCUUAUCCAUCCAUGGCUUCCAAACAAACACAAGACCGGGAGGAGAUGACUCUAGACAAUCCUGAGACAAUUUAUACCAUUAUGCAAGCUGCCGACAAAAUCGACGAAGCGGCUUCUUCCUUAAUAAAAGCAGCGGCGGAUAUCCGUAAAGUAUUCGAGCAUCUCAUAGUUCCAAUCCCACCUAUUGCUGAAUUGGAACCACCGUCAUCUCCGCCUCAGCAGCCGAAUCUAGAUCUGGCCUUAGCUGAGAUGUCAUUGGGAACUAACAAUUGACGGCAUCGUGAACCAAAGAUUAAGGAGAGAGUAAAAAUGAGGAGGCCAUCAUCCCAUCAAUAAGGAAUGCAGCUCAUUGAGAAAAAAAUUAAUUUUUCGUUCAAAUGAUUUUUACUUGUUUUUCUCUUUAAGUCUGAGUUAAUUAAAAAAUACAAGAAUUACAAAUG
Molecule: long non-coding RNA, 538 nt
Organism: Daphnia pulex (common water flea)
Lineage: Eukaryota; Metazoa; Arthropoda; Branchiopoda; Diplostraca; Daphniidae
Exons: 3
Source: RefSeq, a predicted model, not a curated record